Molecule: long non-coding RNA, 764 nt
Organism: Poecilia latipinna (sailfin molly)
Lineage: Eukaryota; Metazoa; Chordata; Actinopteri; Cyprinodontiformes; Poeciliidae
Exons: 3
Source: RefSeq, a predicted model, not a curated record
AGCGUGUUGGACCAGGGAGACAUCUAAGAGUUGACGGCCCUUCAGGACCAGGAUUGCCCACACCUGUGUUAAACUAUGGGUGACAUUUAUUCUGCACCCAGAAUGAAUAGCUGUAGUCCUAUUGUAAAUAGCUUAAAACCUACUGAUGUCCUGCUGCGUGCUUUCUGAUCGAAGCCCUGCCAUGGUCAGUUAGGAAAAUAUCAGCAACAGCGUUAACAAAACUAUAAAACGGAAACUAUGAGUGAAAGUUUUGUUCCGAAGAAUCACUUCCUGAAGCGCAAAACGUGAAGGUGUGUUGGACUCGCCUGAGGGAUGGUUUUGUUGCUAGGCAAAAGCCCUUGACGACAAGAGUUUGACACUCUGAUCUACAGCUGUAUACUGGUAUAAAGAGUUUCGCUUUUAAGAAAUGAAAAAGCUCUGUUGUUCAUGAGUGGCUUUAUCUGGACUGUCAAACAAAAAGCUUUCACCGUCUGUGAGUCAGACCCUCCACCCGCUUCACCUCCCCGGAGACACUUACUGGGCCUAAUGUACAGUCCAGGGUGGUACAGGAAAUCAUCCACCAGCCAUCCUGUUUCACAACAGUGAAGGGAAAAUGACUCUUAAUGACUGUCAGGGCGAAGCCCUUCGUUAGAAAACCGGCUUUCAUGUGAAUAGAGAAACAUGUUUGGGUUAUGUCUUGUUUUCCAGAUGCGGUGAUGCAGUCAGAAUGUUUGAUGGUUAAAUAACAGCAUUUAAAAUAGGAUCUUUAGCUACAAAACAAAAAA